Molecule: ribosomal RNA, 483 nt
Filed under: uncultured bacterium
Lineage: Bacteria
Description: partial 16S ribosomal RNA
Rfam family: Bacterial small subunit ribosomal RNA
Source: RNAcentral
UUGAACGCUAGCGGGAUGCUUUACACAUGCAAGUCGCACGGCAGCGCGGACUUCGGUCUGGCGGCGAGUGGCGAACGGGUGAGUAAUGUAUCGGAACGUGCCCAGUAGCGGGGGAUAACUACGCGAAAGCGUAGCUAAUACCGCAUACGCCCUACGGGGGAAAGCAGGGGAUCGUAAGACCUUGCACUAUUGGAGCGGCCGAUAUCGGAUUAGCUAGUUGGUGAGGUAACGGCUCACCAAGGCGACGAUCCGUAGCUGGUUUGAGAGGACGACCAGCCACACUGGGACUGAGACACGGCCCAGACUCCUACGGGAGGCAGCAGUGGGGAAUUUUGGACGAUGGGAGCAACCCUGAUCCAGCCAUCCCGCGUGUGCGAUGAAGGCCUUCGGGUUGUAAAGCACUUUUGGCAGGAAAGAAACGUCGCGGGCUAAUACCCCGUGGAACUGACGGUACCUGCAGAAUAAGCACCGGCUAACUACGUG